UCGGUGAUUCAACUUUGUACCGGUGGUAUAAGGCAGUUUAGUGACUCUUAAAAUACAUUAAAUUCUGUCUCCGAACAACCUAUUUUUAACUCAAGUUUGAGUUAUCUGUUUGAGUAUUUAAUUUACUAAUGAUAUUAUCCAGCGAGAUAUCCUAGCUUUGGGAUGCCCACUACCCUGCAAUAGAAGCUCCUUUAGUCUUGAAUAUACAUAUAUUCGUCAAGAGAAGAUUGAUAUUGACUGGGGAAGAGAGGAUUUCGAUUUUGCUAUUUCUAUUUGGGCAAAGGAUUUUCAAAUAGAGGACAGCGAAGAGAUAACAGUGUGUGAUUCAACCUGCCUUCUAGGGGAGGUGAAUGUCAUUUAUCAGGACUAGAGGCGACGUAAGGGGGGAGGGGAGAUGCCCCCCCUAGAAAAAAUUAGGACACAACUUCAAAAAGGGGAAAACUUUUAGAGUCUUUUUUAUUAUUUAAAAUUGUAUUUUCAAGAAUAUUUUCUUUAAGUCAUUUUGCUUUUGUUAAUAUUUUGUAGCAACAUUUUUGACUGAAAUACAUUUUGCUCAUAAAAAACUUCCUUAGCCGCAGCGCAGCGUUAGGCUCUAUUUUGUAGCGUACGGCAAUUCAGAAGGCCCAAAUUUAAUCAAACAUGUCAUUUAAUCUUUGUGAAUAUUAGCACAUUUACAGUCAAAUUAAUAAACAAUCCCUUUGAUACAGUGAUAACCAGAAAACUAUGAAUUAGGAAGACGACUUUUAGAUUCAAGUUAUA
Eurytemora carolleeae is the source of this 759-nucleotide RNA transcript. It is a transcript of the gene named acid-sensing ion channel 4, with no coding region annotated. The record is from RefSeq and is a predicted model, not a curated record. The transcript is spliced from 3 exons. NCBI's taxonomy places the organism in Eukaryota, Metazoa, Arthropoda, Copepoda, Calanoida, Temoridae.